GAUGAACGCUGGCGGCGUGCCUAAUACAUGCAAGUCGAGCGAACAGACGAGGAGCUUGCUCCUCUGACGUUAUCGGCGGACGGGUGAGUAACACGUGGAUAACCUACCUAUAAGACUGGGAUAACUUCGGGAAACCGGAGCUAAUACCGGAUAAUAUAUUGAACCGCAUGGUUCAAUAGUGAAAGACGGUUUUGCUGUCAGUUAUAGAUGGAUCCGCGCCGGAUUAGCUAGUUGGUAGGGUAAUGGCUUACCAAGCCAACGAUGCAUAGCCGAUCUGAGAGGAUGAUCCGCCACACUGGUACUGAGACACGGCCCAGACUCCUACGGGAGGCAGCAGUGGUGAAUCUUAGAAAAGGGGGGCAACCCUGAUCUAGCCAUGCUGCGUGAGUGAUGAAGGCCUUAGGGUUGUAAAGCUCUUUCAGCUGGGAAGAUAAUGACGGUACCAGCAGAAGAAGCCCCGGCUAACUCCGUG
This 472-nucleotide ribosomal RNA is filed under the name uncultured bacterium. RNAcentral describes it as "partial 16S ribosomal RNA". It matches the Rfam family "Bacterial small subunit ribosomal RNA", at positions 28 to 507 of the family's 1533-position model. The record is from RNAcentral.